RNAcentral lists this transfer RNA (74 nucleotides) under Loxodonta africana (African savanna elephant). It matches the Rfam family "tRNA". Rfam says of the family: Transfer RNA (tRNA) molecules are approximately 80 nucleotides in length. The record is from Rfam by way of RNAcentral. Lineage: Eukaryota; Metazoa; Chordata; Mammalia; Proboscidea; Elephantidae.
CCCUCGGUGGUAUAAACAGUUAAUGCACUCAGCUGCUAACUGAAAGAUUGGAAGUUCAAGUCCACCCAGAGGUA